GAUCGUAUAGUCUAAGAAAGAUAUUAAAUUGCAAAUUUAAUGAUAAACAAGUUUUUACGAUCU
This 63-nucleotide transfer RNA is filed under the name Curculionidae sp. MT-2014. RNAcentral describes it as "tRNA-Cys". The record is from RNAcentral. Lineage: Eukaryota; Metazoa; Arthropoda; Insecta; Coleoptera; Curculionidae.